CCUGGCGUCUUGUCCGCCAUCUUGAUUCUCUACCCCGCUCAAGCCUUGGCAGCAGAGAAUCGAGCGCCGAUUCCAUUGAUUGAAGGGAGGCGGAAGGAGGAAGCAGUCACGGCGAGUCGAUAGCCAAACAGCAGAUGAGCGAGGUUUGAUCCGUAACGUUGGAGACGUCGCGUCUCGCUUUGCUUUGCUGCAGGGUGAGAAAAGCAAGAGGGUGCGUCGGCGCAGGAUAAUGCUGUGCAGGUACUACAGUAACUUCAGUGGAAAACUCUGAGGGUUUGGAACUGCAACUUCCAAAGAAGGUUGUGAGUCUACAGGAACUGAUAGAAAGGGCUCUUGCUCUCACAUGGGAAGAACAGGGAAGAUGUGGACCCUUGAGUAUCAAAUACACCAAAUUUCAAAAAUGAGAAACCGGCAAAUUAGGUUCUGUACUAGAACAAAUCAUCCCACGAGGGAGCAAGGCUGAGGACCUUUCCCGAGCAGAGCUUGGGAAAGAAGUUGGACUCCCAGGAGAUGCACCACAGAAAAAACCACAGCUCCCAGGAGCACCUGCACCACUCCUAGGACUGCAGACAGAAACUUUGCCAGAAGCUGUUUAAAAUCUCAACCUGCCAUGGCUGCUCCAUCACCACUGGAAGCAAGAUGAGCUAACUUCAGCCUGACUCCUUCCAGGUCGGGAAAGAGGAUAAGCAGCAUAUUUCUCCAACACUCCACCUUUUCCUCCAGCACUCUUCAGACAAGGAGAGGAGAGCACAUGUGAACAACGGCUAGAGGGCUGCACUGAUAUUUCCCCAGCUGAAAAGCAGAGAACAGCAAGGCUAAUCCUUACUGCAUACACACCCGCUUUAAGCAGCUGGGAAGGGCAGCAAAAGUAGACAGUCAGUGCAGUACUGGUUGUCUGAUCAUCUAGUGUGCAUGGGCCUAGGAGAGACUAAAUCCUGGAUAAACAGCCGUUUUAAGGCCACUGGUCACCAAAUAUACACCAACCGACACAUUCAACAGCACAGAAUGUCCCAUUGUCUACAGUAUAAUAUGCCUUUGUCUUUUCUUUUUAAUUAUUAAUGUGCUAUAUGUGCAUUACAUUCUCAUUUUUUAUUUCCCAACCCAACGGAAGAUUUAAAAAUGGCUCCCUUAAUUUAAUCUUUUGAAACUCAUUGUACGUUAUGCUUGGUUAUCAUAUUACAAUGUAAUGGAAUACUAUUAUUUUUUAAAUACAGUGCAAUGAUUUUGGAUUGCCUUAUUCAGUUCAUCUAAAACACUGGGAGGUUCAACACUAAAUAGAUCAAAGCAAAUAACCCAAGCCAUCAGGGACAGACAAUAGCUGAAUCUAGCAAGUCUUUAAAUACACACACACACACACACACACACCUGUCAAUGGCAAAAGAGGCUUACAAUACAUCUUCCCCUGUAUCGCUUUUUGUGUUCUGAUUGCAUAACUGUGCUGAUUACAUAAAUGUACAGUAGAUAAAUGUACAGUCUGUAUAAGAAUCAACACAACAGUCACUACUUUUAUCCAGAGGUGGAUAUGGGUAUUCCCAUCCCAUCUGGCAUAAAGAAUGGUUUUUAUGCUGGAACCACAGGCCAGUAUAUAGGAGUCGAUUGAUUAAUCUAUAGGUAUUUGCAUAAAUUGUACAGCAUAAUGCCAUACCACCAGCUAGGUAUCAUGCAUGGCAUGCGAAGAAUUUCAGCAAAGCGUCCUAGAUUGUUGUUCCUUAAAAUCCAAAUUAAAAUUUUUAAUGUGUCUAAGGAUCUGCCAG
Molecule: long non-coding RNA, 1754 nt
Organism: Hemicordylus capensis (graceful crag lizard)
Lineage: Eukaryota; Metazoa; Chordata; Lepidosauria; Squamata; Cordylidae
Exons: 5
Source: RefSeq, a predicted model, not a curated record